UUGAAAAUAAUUUAAAGUUUAAUCUGCCCACUGAUNAAAUUAUUAAAGGGCUGCAGUAUUUUGACUGUACAAAGGUAGCAUAAUCAUUAGUCUCUUAAUUGGUGACUUGUAUGAAAGAUUGGAUGAAAUAUAUACUGUCUCUAAUUAAUUUAUAAAAUUUAAUUUUUUAGUAAAAAAGCUAAAAUAAGUUUAAAAGACGAGAAGACCCUAUAGAGUUUAAUAAUUUAUUUAAUUAUUAUUAAUAUGUAAAUUUUAAAAUUAAAAUUAAAUAAAUUAUUUUGUUGGGGUGAUAGAAAAAUUAAAUUAACUUUUUUUUAUUUUUAAACAUAAAUUUAUGAAUAGAUGAUCCAUUAAUAAUGAUUAAAAGAAAAAAUUACCUUAGGGAUAACAGCGUAAUUUUUUUUUUUAGUUCAAAUAGGAAAAAAAGUUUGCGACCUCGAUGUUGGAUUAAGAUAAAAUUUAAAUGCAAAAGUUUAAAAUUUUGAUCUGUUCGAUCAUUAAAAUCUUA
RNAcentral lists this ribosomal RNA (508 nucleotides) under Papilio paris hermosanus. RNAcentral's name for it is "partial 16S ribosomal RNA". The stretch from base 384 to 508 matches the Rfam family "Bacterial large subunit ribosomal RNA", at positions 2473 to 2598 of the family's 2925-position model. The record is from RNAcentral. Lineage: Eukaryota; Metazoa; Arthropoda; Insecta; Lepidoptera; Papilionidae.